Molecule: ribosomal RNA, 435 nt
Filed under: Escherichia sp. E4385
Lineage: Bacteria; Pseudomonadati; Pseudomonadota; Gammaproteobacteria; Enterobacterales; Enterobacteriaceae
Description: partial 23S ribosomal RNA
Rfam family: Bacterial large subunit ribosomal RNA
Source: RNAcentral
UAUCGACGGCGGUGUUUGGCACCUCGAUGUCGGCUCAUCACAUCCUGGGGCUGAAGUAGGUCCCAAGGGUAUGGCUGUUCGCCAUUUAAGUGGUCGCGAGCUGGGUUUACGUCGUGAGACAGUUCGGUCCCUAUCUGCCGUGGGCGCUGGAGAACUGAGGGGGGCUGCUCCUAGUACGAGAGGACCGGAGUGGACGCAUCACUGGUGUUCGGGUUGUCAUGCCAAUGGCACUGCCCGGUAGCUAAAUGCGGAAGAGAUAAGUGCUGAAAGCAUCUAAGCACGAAACUUGCCCCGAGAUGAGUUCUCCCUGAGACUUUAAGUCUCCUGAAGGAACGUUGAAGACGACGACGUUGAUAGGCCGGGUGUGUAAGCGCAGCGAUGCGUUGAGCUAACCGGUACUAAUGAACCGUGAGGCUUAACCUUACAACGCCGAAG